RNAcentral lists this ribosomal RNA (429 nucleotides) under Bacteroidota bacterium. Its description in RNAcentral is "Bacteroidetes bacterium partial 16S ribosomal RNA". It matches the Rfam family "Bacterial small subunit ribosomal RNA", at positions 355 to 776 of the family's 1533-position model. The record is from RNAcentral. Lineage: Bacteria; Pseudomonadati; Bacteroidota.
UAGGGAAUCUUCGGCAAUGGGGGGAACCCUGACCGAGCAACGCCGCGUGGGUGAAGAAGGUUUUCGGAUCGUAAAGCUCUGUUGUUAAGGAAGAACGAGUGUGAGAAUGGAAAGUUCAUGCUGUGACGGUACUUAACCAGAAAGGGACGGCUAACUACGUGCCAGCAGCCGCGGUAAUACGUAGGUCACGAGCGUUGUCCGGAUUUAUUGGGCGUAAAGCGAGCGCAGGCGGUUAGAUAAGUCUGAAGUUAAAGGCAGUGGCUCAACCAUUGUAGGCUUUGGAAACUGGUUAACUUGAGUGCAGAAGGGGAGAGUGGAAUUCCAUGUGUAACGGUGAAAUGCGUUGAUAUAUGGAGGAACAACGGUGGCGAAAGCGGCUCUCUGGUCUGUAACUGACGCGGAGGCUCGAAAGCGUGGGGAGCGAACAGG